CAGAGAUUGUUCACUGUUGAAGAAUUGGCUUUGUACAAUGGGACUGAUCAAAGUUUGCCCUCUUGUUAGGAAUUCUGGGAGUUGAAACACUGAGGUACAAAAGAGGGGACGGCAAAUCAAUCUGUGUUUGUUUUGGAAAAGGGCUUCUGCUAUAUUUGUUGGUGUAUAUGAACCUACGAAGCAGAAAUUGCUGAAGUCACUCCCAGAAAAUUUCAGUGCUUUAGUUCAUUUGGUAUUCAGACAUCAAUCAGACUGCAGGUGCUAUUGGAGGUGCUGCUUCUUCUAUUGUACGAGUGCCAACAGAGCUAUACUCAAAACACUGAAUCUGUUUUUGUCAUCAGAACUAACCAACUCGCAAAUCUGAUAUAAAGAGCAUAAAGGUGAGGCUAGGGGCGAUUAAGAAGAAGAGGAACGCUGCUGAACUAUCUGAAGAAUAAUGUUGUUGAUCUUCUCAAGAUUGGCCUUGAUAUUAAUGUAUAUGGAAGGGUUCUCAUCCAAAAAAUAAAGAACCUCAUUUUUGUGCUGCUGUGGGUGGAGCUGGGAGCAGCACAGCAGGUCGAAAAGGCAUGGCUGAUGCUGUAGCAGAUAUGACAAAAAGAUCAGCAUACUUUCAACAAAUUGAAGAUGUUCUGAAAUAUUCAAAGGCUUUAACAGAUAUGAGAACUACCGUGAGUUUUUUUCCAAACAAAAGACAUGAAUGAGCUGCUAGACUUCCACAAGAAAUUAGAAUCCAUUCUUGAACACUUGACUGAUGAGACACAGGUCUUAUCAAGGUUUGAAGGAUUCCCUACAAAGAAGUUAAAAACAAUGAGGACAGCAGCAACACUCCACUCAUAGUUAAAUGCAUUGAUCACAGAACUACACAAUUGGAAAAUAGGAAGAGCGGUUGAAGUGGAUGAUUGUUGUGGAGAUUAUGGAUGAAUCUCCAGAAAUGCUUGGUUCUACAAAGUAAGAUUGGUC
Molecule: long non-coding RNA, 960 nt
Organism: Rosa rugosa (rugosa rose)
Lineage: Eukaryota; Viridiplantae; Streptophyta; Magnoliopsida; Rosales; Rosaceae
Exons: 10
Source: RefSeq, a predicted model, not a curated record